UGGAAUAUAGCCAAAUUGGCAAGGCAUUCGUUUUUGGUACGGACAUUUUUAAAGGUUCAAAUCCUUUUAUUCCAA
RNAcentral lists this transfer RNA (75 nucleotides) under Asterionella formosa. Its description in RNAcentral is "tRNA-Gln". It matches the Rfam family "tRNA". Rfam says of the family: Transfer RNA (tRNA) molecules are approximately 80 nucleotides in length. Their secondary structure includes four short double-helical elements and three loops (D, anti-codon, and T loops). The record is from RNAcentral. Lineage: Eukaryota; Bacillariophyta; Fragilariophyceae; Tabellariales; Tabellariaceae.